UGCCAGACAGGGAAACUGCGUACGGCUCAUUACACCAGCCUUAAUUUACUUGACCUUGACAACCUACUUGGAUAACUGUGGUAAUUCUAGAGCUAAUACAUGCACCAAAGCUCCGAUCCUCGCGGAGAGGAGCGCAUUUGUUCGCCACAAAACCAAGCGCCCAUCUGGGCGUCCAGUGCUGAACCAGAACAACUCAGCUGAUCGCACGGUCUUGUACCGGCGACGUGUCUUUCAAGUGUCUGCCUUAUCAACUUUCGAUGGUAGUGUACCUGACUACCAUGGUUGUGACGGGUAACGGAGGAUAAGGGUUCGACUCCGGAGAAGGGGCCUGAGAAAUGGCCACUACGUCUAAGGAUGGCAGCAGGCGCGCAAAUUACCCACUCUCAACGCGAGGAGGUAGUGACGAGAA
RNAcentral lists this ribosomal RNA (409 nucleotides) under unidentified nematode Sourhope farm. RNAcentral describes it as "SSU rRNA". It matches the Rfam family "Eukaryotic small subunit ribosomal RNA", at positions 72 to 476 of the family's 1831-position model. The record is from RNAcentral. Lineage: Eukaryota; Metazoa; Nematoda.